This 267-nucleotide long non-coding RNA is filed under the name Homo sapiens (human). RNAcentral describes it as "non-protein coding GMDS-DT:119". Lineage: Eukaryota; Metazoa; Chordata; Mammalia; Primates; Hominidae. The record is from RNAcentral.
AUGCCCAAGACAAAGAUUGAAGGGGAUGCUAAAGGAGAUAAAGCCAAGGUGAAAGACGAACCACUGAGAAGAUCCGCGAGGUUGUCUACUAAACCUUCCAAAGCCAGAGCCCAAGCCAAAAAAGGCUCUCGAGAAGAAGGGAGAGAAGGUACCCAAUGGAAAAAGGGAAAAGCUGUUGCUGGCAAGGAGGGGAAUAACCCUGCAGAAAAUGGAGAUGCCAAAACAGACCAGGCACAGAAAGCUGAAGGUGCUGGAGAUGCCAAGUGA